ACGGGAGGCAGCAGUGGGGAAUAUUGGGCAAUGGGCGAAAGCCUGACCCAGCAACGCCGCGUGAAGGAAGAAGGUCUUCGGAUUGUAAACUUCUUUUAUGAGGGACGAAGGACGUGACGGUACCUCAUGAGUAAGCUACGGCUAACUACGUGCCAGCAGCCGCGGUAAUACGUAGGUAGCGAGCGUUAUCCGGAUUUACUGGGUGUAAAGGGCGCGUAGGCGGGGAAGCAAGUCAGGUGUGAAAUCUAUGGGCUUAACCCAUAAACUGCACUUGAAACUGUUUUUCUUGAGUGCUGGAGAGGUAGACGGAAUGCCUAGUGUAGCGGUGAAAUGCGUAGAUAUUAGGAAGAACACCAGUGGCGAAGGCGGUCUACUGGACAGUAACUGACGCUGAGGCGCGAAAGCGUGGGGAGCAAACAGGAUUAGAUACCCUGGUA
RNAcentral lists this ribosomal RNA (437 nucleotides) under uncultured Oscillospiraceae bacterium. Its description in RNAcentral is "partial 16S ribosomal RNA". It matches the Rfam family "Bacterial small subunit ribosomal RNA", at positions 341 to 792 of the family's 1533-position model. Lineage: Bacteria; Bacillati; Bacillota; Clostridia; Eubacteriales; Oscillospiraceae. The record is from RNAcentral.